UCAACAAUAUUCUCUCCACCACCAUCUUCUUUUCUCCUUCUUCUUUUUACAGAAAAACAACCACCGCCACCACCAACUUCUUCUUCUUCUCCACCAUGAGCGUCGACAUUAAGACCAGCCCACUAUUUCGAGAAAAAGUAACAGUAUUAACCAGCUCCAACACUGUUUCGAGAUGCCCUAAUUUUUCUAAAAUUCUCGAUUUUUAUUAUUCCCUGAAGAUCAAAGAGGUUGUUUAUUUCAUCAAAGAUUAGCAGCGAAGGACCUAAAAAUCAUGUGGUGCACACUUCUUCAGCUUGACACACUAGUAGAGUUUUGAGUUGUUGGGCGAAUUAUCUGCUCCUAACUUUCUAAUGACUUGUAUCUAUUGUGAGUGUAUCUCUUGUUGUAUUUCAUCUUCUUGGAGUUCAUGUUGUUACGCUACUCAAUGUUGCACCGCCGUCAGUUACGCAUUGAGAUUUGAAUCUCAUUUUGGAAUUUUGAAACAUCCAAGUGUCGGUCUAUAUUAUAUGAAUCUUUAUUGUGAUAUAUUUGGUAAACAAAAGUUGUAGUUAUGGCUAGUUUUGGUAGCCGUCGAUAGUCCUAUAACGUGCGCACGCAUCAAUUA
This is a long non-coding RNA of Papaver somniferum (opium poppy), 604 nucleotides long. RefSeq lists it as uncharacterized. NCBI's taxonomy places the organism in Eukaryota, Viridiplantae, Streptophyta, Magnoliopsida, Ranunculales, Papaveraceae. The transcript is spliced from 2 exons. The record is from RefSeq and is a predicted model, not a curated record.